Molecule: ribosomal RNA, 479 nt
Filed under: Babesia venatorum (nom. ined.)
Lineage: Eukaryota; Apicomplexa; Aconoidasida; Piroplasmida; Babesiidae
Description: SSU rRNA
Rfam family: Eukaryotic small subunit ribosomal RNA
Source: RNAcentral
GUCUUGUUAAAAGGAAUGAUGGUGACCUAAACCCUCACCAGAGUAACAAUUGGAGGGCAAGUCUGGUGCCAGCAGCCGCGGUAAUUCCAGCUCCAAUAGCGUAUAUUAAACUUGUUGCAGUUAAAAAGCUCGUAGUUGAAUUUCUGCGUUAUCGAGUUAUUGACUCUUGUCUUUAAUCGAUUUCGCUUUUGGGAUUUAUCCCUUUUUACUUUGAGAAAAUUAGAGUGUUUCAAGCAGACUUUUGUCUUGAAUACUUCAGCAUGGAAUAAUAGAGUAGGACUUUGGUUCUAUUUUGUUGGUUUUUGAACCUUAGUAAUGGUUAAUAGGAACGGUUGGGGGCAUUCGUAUUUAACUGUCAGAGGUGAAAUUCUUAGAUUUGUUAAAGACGAACUACUGCGAAAGCAUUUGCCAAGGACGUUUCCAUUAAUCAAGAACGAAAGUUAGGGGAUCGAAGACGAUCAGAUACCGUCGUAGUCCUA